AACGACAGCUCCAUACAAGAAUCAAUGAACACAGAAAAGAUAUUAACAAAAGAAUGAGGUCCCCUUCUGUUAUAUCGAACCACAAGUUUAGAGUCAUCUCAUGAUUUCAAGUGGGAUGAUAUUGAGAUCUUAGAUGAAGAGAGAUCUUGUAAAAAAAGAUUAAUUUCAGAAAUGGUCAACAUUAAGAGACAAGUAAAUCCACUGAAUCUGCAAAAGGAUACGGAAUCGUUACCGGAAGAUUAUCUUCCGAUCUUAAAUUUAUUUUCUCCAUAAUAACCUUGGUUACCUUUGGUCUUGUUUGUGUAUGCGAUCUCGAUAACAGCAUAAGCUCAGCGUUUACAGUCUGGUAUUCGCGUCGUGACAGUGAGGGGAUAUAGACAUGUAGAAUAUCUCUUGUGAUUGCGUUUGACCUUUUUAGAUUUUGUACUUUGAUUUUAUUUUUUGAUCUGAGAAAUGAUGUAAAAUGAUUUUAUUGUACAAUGCUGAUGUGCUACUUAGGAGUAGCACUGACGAGAAUUUUGAUUAUAAUGCAAUGCUGCGCUUCUGAUAAUUAUGUAUGCUUGAUCAGUUAUCCAGGUAUGUAUCAUAUUAUAAUGUCCAUUUGUAUCAUAGCUCAACGUUUUAAUGUAGAUUGAUUGAAUAUGUUUAGGAGUUUUUUGUACACUGAGAAUGGUCCAAGAGUGAGACCGAAACGUCUGAUGUACUUUCAUUAAUUUAAUAAACAAGCACUGACAUCCA
This is a long non-coding RNA of Ooceraea biroi (clonal raider ant), 738 nucleotides long. RefSeq lists it as uncharacterized. The record is from RefSeq and is a predicted model, not a curated record. NCBI's taxonomy places the organism in Eukaryota, Metazoa, Arthropoda, Insecta, Hymenoptera, Formicidae.